This 502-nucleotide unclassified non-coding RNA is filed under the name Hevea brasiliensis (rubber tree). The record is from RNAcentral. Lineage: Eukaryota; Viridiplantae; Streptophyta; Magnoliopsida; Malpighiales; Euphorbiaceae.
CACAUAGGCAUAUGCCUUUGUGCUUAAUUUACUGUAUAAAAAGAAGGGUACACAUCCUUGAAAUUAAAUGAUUCUACGCCCACCAACCUUAGUCUAUUCAUAAUACACUAGCUAGAUCUGCAUUUCAUUUCACACCUUACAACCAUGGAAGCUCUCCUCUCCCAAUUUACCUUUCUCUCAGAUCAAGCCUUGCAGGACAAGAACUUUGAUCCCUCAACGAUAGAGGAUCUAAUGAAGCUUUUUGAGAUAGAAGCUUACAAGUCAUGGGCAGCAAUGGAACUUGAGCAAGAAAAUGAAGUGAAAGAAGCACAAGUAGCUAUGCGAGAUGCUGAGAACUAUCUUGAUUCUGUGAUGGAAGAAGCUAUGGAUGAAUUUCGUCGAUUCGAAGAGGAAAUGGAAAGGAUGGCAAAGGAAGAACUUGAAAGCUUAGAAAAGAGUGCUGAGACUGAAAGAAAGAUGGGAAAAUUAAUGGAAAAAGCUGCAACUAUUGCUUCUAAGAGGU